Molecule: long non-coding RNA, 421 nt
Organism: Beta vulgaris subsp. vulgaris (sugar beet)
Lineage: Eukaryota; Viridiplantae; Streptophyta; Magnoliopsida; Caryophyllales; Amaranthaceae
Exons: 2
Source: RefSeq, a predicted model, not a curated record
GAAUUGAAAAAAAUUGUCCCAUCCGUUAUUACACAGCGGAUUUUAAUAUAAGAUAGGGUGUUUUGGUGCAAGAUUUAUGGAGAGAAAGAAAGGCAUGGGUGCUACUCAAGAAGAACAAAACUAGUCGAGUGAAGAGGAAGAGAAAUAAGCUUGGAGAAACUGCUCGGAUGGUGGUCCAUGGAAUAUGGGUUUUCAGCUCAACUAUAUUAGAAGAUCUUGCAAAUCCGGGCUUCACAUUGAAAUAUCUCAUAAAGGCAGAGCUUCAGAUGAUAUCGUUGAUGCCUUAGCCAAGCAGGGUCUUCUUUGCUCUAGUAAUUUUGUUGUGUGGCUUUGAUGUUCAUUCUUCUUAUAAUUGAUCCCUUUGUGUCAAGGUUGCCUCUUCAUUUAUCCCUUGUAUUUUGAGCUGCAGUUUCUGUUUGAA